AUUUUUUUGGGUUGGUGAAUGUGCACUAGUUCACGUCAAAAAAAAUUUUCCUCUGCCAUUUUAGUUUUGUGUCGUACCCGUAUAGCACGUACAAAUUCGUUUUUAUUAAAAGAAUCAUCUAGCUUUUUGAAGCUAGACCUCUUUUAAUAGAACCAAAAUGCGAGCGAAGUGGCGUAAGAAGCGUAUGCGAAGGCUAAAGCGUAAGCGCAGGAAGAUGCGUGCAAGAUCUAAGUAAAUCAUUGGAACUUCAUCUCUACUAGUAUUUUCUUUGAAGAUUUAGAAGAUGUGAAGUUGCAUUCUAUUGAAAAAACGGAAAAUUGGAUCAUCAAUCGCAUUUUUUUUUAUAAAUUGACCUGUUGGUGUGAAAAAACCAAAAAAAUAUAUAAAAUAUUAAUAUAA
This 399-nucleotide long non-coding RNA is filed under the name Diabrotica virgifera virgifera (western corn rootworm). RNAcentral describes it as "uncharacterized LOC114327861". Lineage: Eukaryota; Metazoa; Arthropoda; Insecta; Coleoptera; Chrysomelidae. The record is from RNAcentral.